RNAcentral lists this ribosomal RNA (501 nucleotides) under Triticum aestivum (bread wheat). RNAcentral's name for it is "partial small subunit ribosomal RNA". The record is from RNAcentral. Lineage: Eukaryota; Viridiplantae; Streptophyta; Magnoliopsida; Poales; Poaceae.
AUGAACACCUACGGCUUCCGCCUCCUUGACUUCACCCCCAACGCCGUUCUGACCAUGGCAGUUUUCGCACAUUUGUGCGAAAACUUUGUCGGAGUCCACCCCAAUGUUGUCCUUUUUCGCCACUUCUUCAUACCUCGGGUAGAGAGAGGAGAGCCACUUGCCGGAGGGAUCGCCUGGAUCUCGAGAGUCGGCAAGAAGGAGGCGUACUUGGAGGGUGAGCUCCGCAGCAAGUGGGAGGAGUGGAGAGCAGAGCGGUGCUGGAUCUUCGAGGAGAAUCCGCAGCCCUUCACCGCCGUGCGCCAAGCUCCAAUAGUGCGCGGCAAUGACUGGAGCAACGUGGGCAAUGACUGGAGCAAUGUGGCCCCGGAAGACGAGAGGCUGAAGAUCGCCAUUACUAGGAUCCUUCGCCUCAGGCUUGCCGGGCUCACUAUAGGCGAUGUAGGCGCAGAUUUCCUCCGCCGCCGCAUCGCCCCCCUGCAGGAGAGGGGGAGGCCCGCCUAG